UUAACGAAUUUUAAGUCGGCCUUGCUGUGCUGGUGGAAACACAUGUGCACGCUCGGUCGCAAAUCCACACACCUGUGCAUCUAUGACUCGAAGUCGUCGUCGUAUGACCGAGAGUAACUUUUACACACUCUUGAAUGUAAAGGAAUGUUCAUGUGCAUAAUGUACAAUUAAACAACUUUCAACAACGGAUCUCUUGGCUCUCGCAUCGAUGAAGAACGCAGCGAAAUGCGAUAAGUAAUGUGAAUUGCAGAAUUCAGUGAAUCAUCGAAUCUUUGAACGCACCUUGCACCCUUUGGUAUUCCGAAGGGUACACCCGUUUGAGUGUCAUUGUAAUCUCACUUCUACAACUUUUUUGUUGUCGAAUGUGGACUUGGACGUCUGCCGUGUUUCAACGGCUCGUCUUAAAUGUCUGAGUGUACCCCGCUUUGCGGCGUAUUCGGUGUGAUAAACAUUUCACCGGAGUUUGGUCUUCUGACCGCGCUUUUGCAAUUGGUGGGCUCUAUGCUUUCCAACCGUCCCUUGUGGACAAAUCUUUGACAAUUUGACCUCAAAUCGGGUGGGACUACCCGCUGAACUUAAGCAUAUCAAUAAKCGGAGGAAAASAAACUAACAAGGAUUCCCCUAGUAACGGCGAGUGAAGAGGGAAAAGCUCAAAUUUUGAAUCUGGUGUCUUUGACUCCCGAGUUGUAAUCUAGAGAAGUGUUUUCCGUGUCGGACCRCGUAUAAGUUCCCUGGAACGGGGCGUCAUAGAGGGUGAGAAUCCCGUAUAUGCCGUGGACUACCGAUGCUCUGUGAUACACUCUCAACGAGUCGAGUUGUUUGGGAAUGCAGCUCAAAAUGGGUGGUAAAUUCCAUCUAAAGCUAAAUAUUGGCGAGAGACCGAUAGCGAACAAGUACCGUGAGGGAAAGAUGAAAAGCACUUUGGAAAGAGAGUGAAACAGUACGUGAAAUUGUUGAAAGGGAAGCGUUUGAAGUCAGUCACGUUUGUUGGGAUUCAGCCUGGCUUCUGCCUGGUGUAUUUCCUAGCCGAUGGGUCAGCAUCAGUUUCGACCAAGGGAAAAAGACAUUUGGAAUGUGGCUGUCUUCGGGCAGUGUUAUAGCCUUGUGUUGUAUGCCUUGGUUGGGACUGAGGAAUGCAGCGCGCCUUAUGGCCGGGGGUCGCUCCUCUCGACACGCGCUUAGGAUGCUGGCAUAAUGGCUUUAAGCGACCCGUCUUGAAACACGGACCAAGGAGUCUAACAUGUGCGCGAGUGUUUGGGUGUAAAACCCGAGCGCGAAAUGAAAGUGAAAGGUCGGGAACAUUCAUUUGUGCACCGACGCCCGGAGCAGACCUUCUGUGACGCWUCCGCGGUAGAGCGUGUAUGUUGGGACCCGAAAGAUGGUGAAYUAUGCCUGAAUAGGGUGAAGCCAGAGGAAACUCUGGUGGAGGCUC
Molecule: ribosomal RNA, 1432 nt
Filed under: uncultured Sebacina mycobiont of Lathyrus aphaca
Lineage: Eukaryota; Fungi; Basidiomycota; Agaricomycetes; Sebacinales; Sebacinaceae
Description: eukaryotic LSU rRNA
Rfam family: Eukaryotic large subunit ribosomal RNA (bases 543-1432)
Source: RNAcentral